GCAUAUCAAUAAGCGGAGGAAAAAGAAAACUAACAAGGAUUUCCCCUAGUAACUGCGAGUGAAGCGGGAAAAAGCUCAAAUUUAAAAUCUGGCAGUCUUUGAUUUGUCCGAGUUGUAAUCUAGAGAAGUGUUAUCCGCGUUGGACCGUGUACAAGUCUCCUGGAAUGGAGCGUCAUAGAGGGUGAGAAUCCCGUCUUUGACACGGACUACCAGUGCUUUGUGAUGCGCUCUCAAAGAGUCGAGUUGUUUGGGAAUGCAGCUCAAAAUGGGUGGUAAAUUCCAUCUAAAGCUAAAUAUUGGCGAGAGACCGAUAGCGAACAAGUACCGUGAGGGAAAGAUGAAAAGAACUUUGGAAAGAGAGUUAAACAGUACGUGAAAUUGCUGAAAGGGAAACGCUUGAAGUCAGUCGCGUUGUCCGGGGAUCAACCUUGCUUUUGCUGGGUGUACUUUCCGGUUGACGGGUCAGCAUCAAUUUUGACCGUUGGAUAAAGUGUAGGGGAAUGUGGCAUCUUCGGAUGUGUUAUAGCCUCUGCUCGCAUACAACGGUUGGGAUUGAGGAACUCAGUACGCCGCAAGGCCGGGAAUUUAUUCCACGUUCGUACUUAGGAUGCUGGCAUAAUGGCUUUAAUCGACCCGUCUUGAAACACGGACCAAGGAGUCUAACAUGCCUGCGAGUGUUUGGGUGGAAAACCCGAGCGCGUAAUGAAAGUGAAAGUUGAGAUCCCUGUCGUGGGGAGCAUCGACGCCCGGACCAGACCUUUUGUGACGGAUCUGCGGUAGAGCAUGUAUGUUGGGACCCGAAAGAUGGUGAACUAUGCCUGAAUAGGGUGAAGCCAGAGGAAACUCUGGUGGAGGCUCGUAGCGAUUUCUGACGUGCAAAUCGAUCGUCAAAUUUGGGUAUAGGGGCGACAAGACUAAUCCCAACCAUCUAGUAGCUGGUUCCUGCCGAAG
This 951-nucleotide ribosomal RNA is filed under the name Psilocybe subviscida. RNAcentral describes it as "LSU rRNA". It matches the Rfam family "Eukaryotic large subunit ribosomal RNA", at positions 38 to 966 of the family's 3401-position model. The record is from RNAcentral. Lineage: Eukaryota; Fungi; Basidiomycota; Agaricomycetes; Agaricales; Agrocybaceae.